RNAcentral lists this long non-coding RNA (1360 nucleotides) under Homo sapiens (human). Its description in RNAcentral is "HSALNT0361575". The record is from RNAcentral. Lineage: Eukaryota; Metazoa; Chordata; Mammalia; Primates; Hominidae.
CAGCAGGGAGAGAAUUUCACAGCUCAUUGACUGCUCUGACUCCUAAUCUACACCGAGGAAACAAUGUUGCAGCUCAUCAAAUGCAAUCAGCUGCUAAUUGAAAGGAAAUGGAAUUUUACAAUUACAGGCCACCUUUCAGUGCUCAGGAUUUCUAAGCACUUCUCCCCACCUUCCUUUGCCAGCUCAGCACUGGCAGGAGCACUUGACAACCUGCUAGAGACUUCCCUAAAAGCUGCAUUUAGGACCUGGCCCGUUCUCCCCAGCUCCAGAGCAGCAGCAAAGGGAAGCAGCGUCCUCGCCAAUACCUGGGCUGUCCUUCAAGGCUCAGUGCAAGGAAAAACACCUGGGUUGGACAUCAGAUAAGGAAAUUGAGACUCAAAGAGGACCCCCAUGGAGAAAGUAAUGAAGCUUGAAUUUAGACCCAAGAUCAUGUCCCUUUCACUUCCUCAGCCUGCCCAGGAAGUUUAUAGCGUGCUCAUGCCACAAACCCUGGAGCUGGAUACGCGCUCAAUUGGCUUGAAGACCUUGGUCCUCUCUCCCCUUACUCACCAGGUAGUGCUGACUUCCAGACCACUGAGGUCACCUGCAUAAGCGAGUCUGGCAACAAAUAAUCGUCUUCCAGAAAAUGACCAGAAACUCAGCCUGCUUUUUGUCAUUUCACCAGCCCCACCAUCUUUCCUUUAUUCUAGAGCUCCUGGCACACUUACAUGAAUCUCUUGAAAGAAGAGAAAUGAGAGCAUUCAUUCCAUACUAAUACAAUUGUGCCCUAUGGAAAGGCUUUUUGCUGGCAGACAUAGUAGACGGACCAUUUCCCAACUUCUUUUUCUUUGCCACCUUCCAGCCAAAGGUGUCCAUAUGACACAGCUCUGGACAGGAUAAUUGGAAGUCUGUUGUGGGAUUUCUGAGAAAGCUUUUGAUUUUCUGACAGAGACAUUUUUGCUUCCCCUUACCACUUCCUACUGGAUUACAGAUGUGAUGGAAAGAGCUGCAGCAGCCAUAAUACAACCAUAAAGGAGAGGAGAAGAGAAUUGCAAAGGCAUCAACCCACAUUGAAUUGAACUGCUAAGUUAACACUAGCAGUUACUUGCCUCCAGAUAUCUUGGUGUGUGAGAACAUUAAAUCUGUAUGUGUCUAAAUCAGUAUGGGUGAACAUUUCUGUCACUAAAGUCAAAAGCAUCCCUGAAACAGUGCAUGAUUCCAUAUGACCCUUACCACAACCCUGGUAAAUAGGUAUAAUUAUCCUUCAUUUAAACAUGACGAAAUUAAAGUUGGGAGAAACUGACUAUACAAAAGUCAUUAAUCGUAUGAGUGGUAGAAUCAGGAUUUAAUUUCAAGCUUUUCAUGCUACACUCACAAACCC